Molecule: ribosomal RNA, 409 nt
Filed under: uncultured bacterium
Lineage: Bacteria
Description: bacterial SSU rRNA
Rfam family: Bacterial small subunit ribosomal RNA
Source: RNAcentral
AACGAACGCUGGCGGCGUGCCUAACACAUGCAAGUCGUGCGAGAAAGUUCCUUCGGGAGCGAGUAAAGCGGCGCACGGGUGAGUAACACGUAGGUAACCUGCCCCCCAGUCUGGAACAACUAGAGGAAACUCUAGCUAAUGCCGGAUGAGACCACGAUCCCUUCGGGGGUUGCGGCCAAAGAUGGCCUCUACUUGUAAGCUAUCGCUGAGGGAUGGGCCUGCGGGCCAUUAGCUUGUUGGUGAGGUAACGGCUCACCAAGGCUGUGAUGGCUAGCUGGUCUGAGAGGAUGACCAGCCACACUGGGACUGAGACACGGCCCAGACUCCUACGGAGGCAGCAGUGGGGAAUAUUGCGCAAUGGGCGAAAGCCUGACGCAGCGACGCCGCGUGGGUGAUGGAGGCCUCGGUC